AGGGGAGUAGCUCAAUUUGGCAGAGCAGCGGCCUCCAAAGCCGAAGGUUGCGGGUUCGAGUCCUGUCUCCCCUGCCA
RNAcentral lists this transfer RNA (77 nucleotides) under Natranaerobius thermophilus JW/NM-WN-LF. Its description in RNAcentral is "tRNA-Trp (CCA) (tRNA-Trp-CCA-1-1)". It matches the Rfam family "tRNA". Rfam says of the family: Transfer RNA (tRNA) molecules are approximately 80 nucleotides in length. Their secondary structure includes four short double-helical elements and three loops (D, anti-codon, and T loops). Further hydrogen bonds mediate the characteristic L-shaped molecular structure. tRNAs have two regions of fundamental functional importance: the anti-codon, which is responsible for specific mRNA codon recognition, and the 3' end, to which the tRNAs corresponding amino acid is attached (by aminoacyl-tRNA synthetases). tRNAs cope with the degeneracy of the genetic code in two manners: having more than one tRNA (with a specific anti-codon) for a particular amino acid; and 'wobble' base-pairing, i.e. permitting non-standard base-pairing at the 3rd anti-codon position. Lineage: Bacteria; Bacillati; Bacillota; Clostridia; Natranaerobiales; Natranaerobiaceae. The record is from RNAcentral.